UACGUAGGGGGCAAGCGUUGUCCGGAUUUAUUGGGCGUAAAGAGCGUGUAGGCGGCCAGGGAGGUCCGUUGUGAAAACUCGAGGCUCAACCUCGAGACGCCGAUGGAAACCCCCUGGCUAGAGUCCGGAAGAGGAGAGUGGAAUUCCUGGUGUAGCGGUGAAAUGCGUAGAGAUCGGGAGGAACACCAGUGGCGAAGGCGGCUACCUGGACCAGCACUGACACUGAGGCACGAAAGCGUGGGGAGCAAACAGG
This 253-nucleotide ribosomal RNA is filed under the name uncultured bacterium. RNAcentral's name for it is "partial 16S ribosomal RNA". It matches the Rfam family "Bacterial small subunit ribosomal RNA", at positions 524 to 776 of the family's 1533-position model. The record is from RNAcentral.